This 529-nucleotide ribosomal RNA is filed under the name uncultured bacterium. RNAcentral describes it as "bacterial SSU rRNA". It matches the Rfam family "Bacterial small subunit ribosomal RNA", at positions 777 to 1304 of the family's 1533-position model. The record is from RNAcentral.
AAUAGAUACCCCGGUAGUCCACGCCGUAAACGAUGAGUGCUAAGUGUUAGAGGGUUUCCGCCCUUUAGUGCUGCAGCUAACGCAUUAAGCACUCCGCCUGGGGAGUACGGCCGCAAGGCUGAAACUCAAAGGAAUUGACGGGGGCCCGCACAAGCGGUGGAGCAUGUGGUUUAAUUCGAAGCAACGCGAAGAACCUUACCAGGUCUUGACAUCCUCUGACAACCCUAGAGAUAGGGCUUUCUCCUUCGGGGGACAGAGUGACAGGUGGUGCAUGGUUGUCGUCAGCUCGUGUCGUGAGAUGUUGGGUUAGGUCCCGCAACGAGCGCAACCCUUGAUCUUAGUUGCCAGCAUUCAGUUGGGCACUCUAAGGUGACUGCCGGUGACAAACCGGAGGAAGGUGGGGAUGACGUCAAAUCAUCAUGCCCCUUAUGACCUGGGCUACACACGUGCUACAAUGGAUGGUACAAAGGGCUGCAAACCUGCGAAGGUAAGCGAAUCCCAUAAAGCCAUUCUCAGUUCGGAUUGCAGG